UAAGAAGGGGGCUAGCGUUGUUCGGAAUUACUGGGCGUAAAGCGCACGUAGGCGGAUUUGUAAGUCAGGGGUGAAAUCCCGGGGCUCAACCCCGGAACUGCCUUUGAUACUGCAAGUCUCGAGUCCGAGAGAGGUGAGUGGAAUUCCUAGUGUAGAGGUGAAAUUCGUAGAUAUUAGGAAGAACACCAGUGGCGAAGGCGGCUCACUGGCUCGGUACUGACGCUGAGGUGCGAAAGCGUGGGGAGCAAACAGG
This 253-nucleotide ribosomal RNA is filed under the name uncultured bacterium. RNAcentral's name for it is "partial 16S ribosomal RNA". It matches the Rfam family "Bacterial small subunit ribosomal RNA", at positions 524 to 776 of the family's 1533-position model. The record is from RNAcentral.